CCUACGGGUGGCAGCAGUAGGGAAUAUUGCUCAAUGGGGGAAACCCUGAAGCAGCAACGCCGCGUGGGGGCUGAAGGUUUUCGGAUUUUAAACUCCUUUUUUUAGGGAAGAUAAUGACGGUAUCUAACGAAUAAUCACCGGCUAAGUCCGGGCCAACAGCCGCGGUAAUACGGAGGGUGCAAGCGUUACUCGGAAUCAAUGGGCGUAAAGAGGGCGUAGGCGGGUUAGCCAGUCAGAUGGUAAAUCCGCGGGCGUAACCACAGAACUGCAUUUGAAACUGUUAUCCUAGAGUAUGGGAGAGGUAGGUGGAAUUCUUGGUGUAGGGGUAAAAUCCGUAGAGAUCAAGAGGAAUCCUCAUUGCGAAGGCGACAUGCUAGAACAUAACUGACGCUGAUGCGCGAAAGCGUGGGGAGCAAACAGGAUUAGAUACCCUUGUAGUC
This 440-nucleotide ribosomal RNA is filed under the name uncultured bacterium. RNAcentral's name for it is "partial 16S ribosomal RNA". It matches the Rfam family "Bacterial small subunit ribosomal RNA", at positions 338 to 795 of the family's 1533-position model. The record is from RNAcentral.